GAUCCUGGCUCAGAUUGAACGCUGGCGGCAUGCCUUACACAUGCAAGUCGAACGGCAGCAUGGAGAGCUUGCUCUCUGAUGGCGAGUGGCGAACGGGUGAGUAAUACAUCGGAACGUGUCCGUUUGUGGGGGACAACCGUCCGAAAGGAUGGCUAAUACCGCAUAAGACCUGGGGGUGAAAGCCGGGGACCGCAAGGCCCGGCGCAGACGGAGCGGCCGAUGAUUGAUUAGCUAGG
RNAcentral lists this ribosomal RNA (236 nucleotides) under uncultured bacterium. RNAcentral's name for it is "partial 16S ribosomal RNA". It matches the Rfam family "Bacterial small subunit ribosomal RNA", at positions 15 to 249 of the family's 1533-position model. The record is from RNAcentral.